UUCAGACGAUGCGUCAUGCAUAUCAAUAAGCGGAGGAAAAGAAACUAACAAGGAUUCCCUUAGUAACGGCGAGUGAAGCGGGAAGAGCUCAAAUUUGAAAUCUUCAAGGUUUUACCUUGACGAAUUGUAGUUUAAAGAAGUGUUUUCUGUUGGAGUUUUGGUAAAAGUUCUUUGGAAUAGGACAUCAUAGAGGGUGAGAAUCCCGUAUUUGACCAUUAUUUUCAGCUGUGUGAUACACUUUCAAAGAGUCGGAUUGUUUGGGAAUGCAGUCCAAAAUGGGUGGUAAAUUUCAUCUAGAGCUAAAUAUUGGCGAGAGACCGAUAGCGAACAAGUACCGUGAGGGAAGGAUGAAAAGAACUUUGAAAAGAGAGUUAAACAGUACGUGAAAUUGUCAAAAGGGAAGCGUUUGACACCAGUGUUGUUUUCUCGAAAAUCAAUUAAAAAGAGUUGGAUUUUGUGUUGUAUUGACCUUAACAGCUUGCUUCACUCUUUUCCUGCUUUUUUUAAUGCACUUUUCGUUUAACAAGUCAACAUCAGUUUCUUUUGUUGUAAAAGGGUCAUUGGAAGGUGGCUUUCUCUUCGGAGAAAGUGUUUAUAGCCUUUGAUCUCUGCAAUCGGAGAGACUGAGGUCUGCAGCGUAGAUCCUUCGGGGUUAGAUACAUUUGUGCUAAGCUACAGCUUUUCAUAGACAACUUGUUGACUAUGUUUAGUCUUGUAACUUACCCGCUUAUGCUAUUUUACCUACGCUUAGGAUAUUGAUAUGCAUGACUGAUAU
RNAcentral lists this ribosomal RNA (775 nucleotides) under uncultured Neocallimastigales. Its description in RNAcentral is "partial large subunit ribosomal RNA". It matches the Rfam family "Eukaryotic large subunit ribosomal RNA", at positions 18 to 634 of the family's 3401-position model. Lineage: Eukaryota; Fungi; Neocallimastigomycota; Neocallimastigomycetes; Neocallimastigales. The record is from RNAcentral.